Molecule: long non-coding RNA, 409 nt
Organism: Gambusia affinis (western mosquitofish)
Lineage: Eukaryota; Metazoa; Chordata; Actinopteri; Cyprinodontiformes; Poeciliidae
Exons: 3
Source: RefSeq, a predicted model, not a curated record
CGCAGUGGACGUCGUCCAGGAGGAUCAGACCGACGCCCUCCCCGAACAUCCCAUCCACUACGGCCUCAGUAUGACCCCUGAAAAGUUACAGCUCCUACCUGUAUCCCAGCUGUCUGCAAACCACCUCUGCAUGCUCCUGGCUCCAGUGGUCGUCACACACUGUCCCCCAGUCGCCAUUGUGAAACACCUCCACCCGACCCUCCCAGGGAGUGUCGCCUCCAACCAGACGCACCACGCCAUCUGAAACGUUGUCAAAAUCUUCACUGUGGUCACCAGAUGACAAAAAUAUGGAUUGACAUACCCGUAACCGAGCUGUCUGCACACCACCUCGGCGUCUCUGUCGUCCCACUGGUCGUCACAGACGGAGCCCCACCGGCCCGCGUGGAAAACCUCCACACGACCUUCGAAG